GGGGACAACCCGCCGAAAGGCGGGCUAAACCCGCGUACAUGCCACCGGGGCAUCCCGGAGGCAGGAAAGGCUUCGGCCGGACAGGGAUGGGCAUGCGGCGCAUUAGGCAGUAGGCGGGGUAACGGCCCACCUAACCGACGAUGCGUAGGGGUUCUGAGAGGAAGGUCCCCCACACUGGUACUGAGACACGGACCAGACUCCUACGGGAGGCAGCAGUGAGGAAUAUUGGUCAAUGGUCGGGAGACUGAACCAGCCAAGCCGCGUGAGGGAUGAAGGUACAGAGUAUCGUAAACCUCUUUUGUCAGGGAACAAAGGCGGGGACGUGUCCCCGGAUGAGUGUACCUGAAGAAAAAGCAUCGGCUAACUCCGUGCCAGCAGCCGCGGUAAUACGGAGGAUGCGAGCGUUAUCCGGACUUAUUGGGUUUAAAGGGUGCGCAGGCGGUCUGUUAAGUCAGCGGUCAAAGCCCGGGGCUCAACCCCGGCCCGCCGUUGAAACUGGCAGUCUCGAGUUGGAGAGAAGUAUGCGGAAUGCGCGGUGUAGCGGUGAAAUGCAUAGAUAUCGCGCAGAACUCCGAUUGCGAAGGCAGCAUGCCGGCUCCACACUGACGCUGAGGCACGAAAGCGUGGGUAUCGAACAGGAUUAGAUACCCUGGUAGUCCACGCAGUAAACGAUGAA
This 676-nucleotide ribosomal RNA is filed under the name uncultured bacterium. RNAcentral's name for it is "bacterial SSU rRNA". It matches the Rfam family "Bacterial small subunit ribosomal RNA", at positions 139 to 813 of the family's 1533-position model. The record is from RNAcentral.